RNAcentral lists this transfer RNA (88 nucleotides) under Pseudomonadota bacterium. RNAcentral's name for it is "Proteobacteria bacterium (groundwater metagenome) tRNA-Ser". It matches the Rfam family "tRNA". Rfam says of the family: Transfer RNA (tRNA) molecules are approximately 80 nucleotides in length. Their secondary structure includes four short double-helical elements and three loops (D, anti-codon, and T loops). Further hydrogen bonds mediate the characteristic L-shaped molecular structure. tRNAs have two regions of fundamental functional importance: the anti-codon, which is responsible for specific mRNA codon recognition, and the 3' end, to which the tRNAs corresponding amino acid is attached (by aminoacyl-tRNA synthetases). tRNAs cope with the degeneracy of the genetic code in two manners: having more than one tRNA (with a specific anti-codon) for a particular amino acid; and 'wobble' base-pairing, i.e. permitting non-standard base-pairing at the 3rd anti-codon position. The record is from RNAcentral. Lineage: Bacteria; Pseudomonadati; Pseudomonadota. RNAcentral also lists the same sequence under 2 other names.
GGAGGGAUGGCCGAGUGGUCGAUGGCGGCGGCCUUGAAAGCCGUUGAGCCGCAAGGCUCCGUGGGUUCGAAUCCUACUCCCUCCGCCA